GGCGCUAUAGUGUAGUGGUCAUCACACGGGAUUUUGAAGCAUCUCGUCUUCCCGAAACCCAGGUUCGAACCCUGGUAGUGCCU
This 83-nucleotide transfer RNA is filed under the name Cylindrobasidium torrendii FP15055 ss-10. It matches the Rfam family "tRNA". Rfam says of the family: Transfer RNA (tRNA) molecules are approximately 80 nucleotides in length. Their secondary structure includes four short double-helical elements and three loops (D, anti-codon, and T loops). The record is from Rfam by way of RNAcentral. Lineage: Eukaryota; Fungi; Basidiomycota; Agaricomycetes; Agaricales; Physalacriaceae.